AAGUCGUAACAAGGUUUCCGUAGGUGAACCUGCGGAAGGAUCAUUACCGAGUGCGGGCCCUCUGGGUCCAACCUCCCAUCCGUGUCUAUCUGUACCCUGUUGCUUCGGCGUGGCCACGGCCCGCCGAAGACUAACAUUUGAACACUGUCUGAAGUUUGCAGUCUGAGUUUUUAGUUAAACAAUAAUUAAAACUUUCAACAACGGAUCUCUUGGUUCCGGCAUCGAUGAAGAACGCAGCGAAAUGCGAUAAUUAAUGUGAAUUGCAGAAUUCAGUGAAUCAUCGAGUCUUUGAACGCACAUUGCGCCCCCUGGUAUUCCGGGGGGCAUGCCUGUCCGAGCGUCAUUGCUGCCCUCAAGCACGGCUUGUGUGUUGGGCUUCCGUCCCUGGUAACGGGGACGGGCCCAAAAGGCAGUGGCGGCACCAUGUCUGGUCCUCGAGCGUAUGGGGCUUUGUCACCCGCUCCCGUAGGUCCAGCUGGCAGCUAGCCUCGCAACCAAUCUUUUUAACCAGGUUGACCUCGGAUCAGGUAGGGAUACCCGCUGAACUUAA
This 550-nucleotide ribosomal RNA is filed under the name Cercospora sojina. Its description in RNAcentral is "eukaryotic LSU rRNA". The stretch from base 190 to 343 matches the Rfam family "5.8S ribosomal RNA". The record is from RNAcentral. Lineage: Eukaryota; Fungi; Ascomycota; Dothideomycetes; Mycosphaerellales; Mycosphaerellaceae.